This 227-nucleotide long non-coding RNA is filed under the name Carica papaya (papaya). Its description in RNAcentral is "long non-coding RNA (CPAP_LNC010653)". Lineage: Eukaryota; Viridiplantae; Streptophyta; Magnoliopsida; Brassicales; Caricaceae. The record is from RNAcentral.
AUAAGGUCUUCAGCUAACUGGGCAUGUUCGAGCACCUCCGCAUAUGAGCUAAGUCUAAGAAUCGCGGCCCGGUCAUAAAUUUCAGCAUAAAGGUCCUUGAAAAAUUUUCCAACUUUUCAGCUUUCGAAGGUGACUAUCAAAGGGGCAAACUCGAAAAGUUGAACAAAACGGAUUGCAUAUUGGGCUACAGACAGGCUUCCUAGGUAGAGGUCCUGAAAUUUUUCCUC